CAGUAGCCACGGGAAUACGAAGGGUGCAAGCGUUACUCGGAAUUACUGGGCGUAAAGCGUGCGUAGGUGGUGGUUUAAGUCCGUUGUGAAAGCCCUGGGCUCAACCUGGGAAUUGCAGUGGAUACUGGGUCACUAGAGUGUGGUAGAGGAUAGUGGAAUUUCCGGUGUAGCAGUGAAAUGCGUAGAGAUCGGAAGGAACAUCUGUGGCGAAGGCGACUAUCUGGGCCAACACUGACACUGAGGCACGAAAGCGUGUGGAGCAAACAGGAUUAGAUACCCGGGUAGUCCCUGUCUCUUAUAC
Molecule: ribosomal RNA, 301 nt
Filed under: uncultured bacterium
Lineage: Bacteria
Description: partial 16S ribosomal RNA
Rfam family: Bacterial small subunit ribosomal RNA
Source: RNAcentral